UGGGGAAUUUUGGACAAUGGGCGAAAGCCUGAUCCAGCAAUGCCGCGUGCAGGAUGAAGGCCUUCGGGUUGUAAACUGCUUUUGUACGGAACGAAAAAGCUUCUCCUAAUACGAGAGGCCCAUGACGGUACCGUAAGAAUAAGCACCGGCUAACUACGUGCCAGCAGCCGCGGUAAUACGUAGGGUGCAAGCGUUAAUCGGAAUUACUGGGCGUAAAGCGUGCGCAGGCGGUGAUGUAAGACAGGUGUGAAAUCCCCGGGCUUAACCUGGGAAUUGCAUUUGUGACUGCAUAGCUAGAGUACGGUAGAGGGGGAUGGAAUUCCGCGUGUAGCAGUGAAAUGCGUAGAUAUGCGGAGGAACACCGAUGGCGAAGGCAAUCCCCUGGACCUGUACUGACGCUCAUGCACGAAAGCGUGGGGAGCAAACA
RNAcentral lists this ribosomal RNA (427 nucleotides) under uncultured bacterium. Its description in RNAcentral is "bacterial SSU rRNA". It matches the Rfam family "Bacterial small subunit ribosomal RNA", at positions 355 to 774 of the family's 1533-position model. The record is from RNAcentral.